CUAGUGGCAGAACCGUAAUUUUUGCAAAGCCAGUUUUUAAAAACCUGAUCACUCUCUCUCCUCUCACGCAGAACCACCUCUCUCUCUCCUCUGUUCAGGCCAACUACGACCUCUGUGGCUUCCGAUGAAGAUUCCGGCCACAUCCGGCCGCCUACGGCCACUAUUUUAGAUCCCUUCUCUUCGUUUCUCUCUCCUCUACACAUCUAUACCAAAUUGCAGCCCCAAAUCUAAGGAAAUUAAAGCCAAAAUCCAAGCCAAAGUGAGCCCAAAAACGGGCUGUUUCAAACAGUAAAUUUCGGGGUAUUUUCCGGUCAUCUCCGGCUGCCAAAGGUCAGGUUUUCAAGAGAUAGAAAGCUUCGUUCGAGGGCUCUAGAGGUGGAAUUGAUCAUCGAGCCAAGGCUGUAGACGUGCAUCUGAGAGCCACAACAGGGCAGUUCCCGCUUCCCGCUCUCCCUCAGUUUGAUGUAGGGAUUCUUGGUUCACAAGUUGUUUCCUUCCUUGUAAAUUGAUUUGUUUAGUUGCUCUGAUGUUGCCCUAGAACUUGUUUUACUGUUGGAACAUACUUAUUUUUGUAUACUGGCAGUUGGUGUAUAUAUUUAA
Prunus mume (Japanese apricot) is the source of this 600-nucleotide non-coding RNA. Lineage: Eukaryota; Viridiplantae; Streptophyta; Magnoliopsida; Rosales; Rosaceae. The record is from RefSeq and is a predicted model, not a curated record.